UACAGAGGGUGCAAGCGUUGCUCGGAAUUACUGGGCGUAAAGAGCGUGUAGGCGGUCAGGCAGGUCGGAUGUGAAAUCCCCGGGCUCAACCCGGGAACUGCAUCCGAUACCACCUGGCUAGAAUGCGGAAGAGAGAGGUGGAAUUCCCAGUGUAGAGGUGAAAUUCGUAGAGAUUGGGAGGAACACCAGUGGCGAAAGCGGCCUCUUGGUCCUGCAUUGACGCUGAGACGCGAAAGCGUGGGGAGCAAACAGGAUUAGAUACCCUGGUAGUCCACGCCGUAAACGAUGACUACUCGGUGUUGUGGGUACUCACCCCCACAGUGCCUAAGCAAACGCGAUAAGUAGUCCGCCUGGGAAGUACGGUCGCAAGACUAAA
RNAcentral lists this ribosomal RNA (376 nucleotides) under uncultured bacterium. RNAcentral's name for it is "partial 16S ribosomal RNA". It matches the Rfam family "Bacterial small subunit ribosomal RNA", at positions 524 to 898 of the family's 1533-position model. The record is from RNAcentral.